Myodes glareolus (Bank vole) is the source of this 1109-nucleotide long non-coding RNA. RefSeq lists it as uncharacterized. Lineage: Eukaryota; Metazoa; Chordata; Mammalia; Rodentia; Cricetidae. The record is from RefSeq and is a predicted model, not a curated record.
ACACACACACACACACACACACACCCUGUACACCCUGUAGUUUCCAAAUGGACUUGUUUAAAAUAAUGUUGGAUGAUCAAUGCCUAUGAUUUGCUCGGAGUGGAUCUGGUUAGGAAAUCACAUUGUUUACUGAAGUGAGGUCAGAGAGGAAGAGUCAGAUAGGGUAGAGCGGAAUGGGUCCGUCAGGAGUGGGGCUGGACCAGACCUAGGGACCACAGUCCUGCGAGGCUUAAGCGGUUCUCUACAAAUGGAUCUCAGUAGUUUUGGUUCUGCAUAGAACAUUCUUUGCCCAGCUAGUCAAAUGUUGCUUACAGGAAAAAAACUCUUUUCCAUUAGGUGAAAACCCCAACCUAUAUAACACAGAGAGCCCAAGGCCCAACUUGUGGGUAAAUAUUUUAUUUGGAGUCAUUUUCUAUUGGCAUAAUCGCCACAAACUGUUACUCUCAGGGUAUUUUUAGACCUGAGGUCCUGGGCCCGUUUGCGGUAGUGAGCACGCUAUGUGCAGUAUGAAGCGCUUGCCACAUGCCGGGCACUUGCUGGAUGAUGUCACGGAAUCUCUAUUCCAUUGAGCAGUCACGUGAAGAGUCCAGGAUCCUCUUGGUUUCUGCCCUCCGCGUGUCCGGGCAUCUAAUGUUUCUGCUGGAGAGAGCAGAUCUGCUAUUUUCUGGCACUGAAUUGUUGCUGCAUGCCAGAGCUGCCCUUGACCUGCUCAGAUAUCCUAAAGUGACAAGGCCUUUCGUGAUUCUGUGGGCAGCCAUUCUACGGACAGCGAGGAGGGCAGGAGGCUGGCUUCCGGCAACCAGGAGAUUCCAAGACAGCGGUGAAGAAUGUGCCUGGAACUGUUGGGUGUGGGUCUUAGGUGCUCGUGAUUGUGUGGGGAGCAGGGUGGAGAAAAGAUCUUUCCUGGUCAUCUGUACCGUCCUGGAGGCCUAGGCUGCUUGCCUUGGCUGAGCUCAUCUCUGUUUUAAGUCAAUGUCAACUCCCAGUGCCGUUCCUGAGUCUCGAGGUGAAAAAGAAGACACCAGGAAGCAUUGCCUGUGCUGUCCUCUCUCCUUUUUCUUUAAGGAAAGUCUGCUGGAUACUAUGGGCCUGUAGGCUGAAGAUGGAUA